GCAUGCGCUCCAGCAGGUAUAUUUCACUGGUAACGUUACUCAUUUCAUAACCUUUAUGGUGUUAUAUUCAAUCGUGCUUAUGUAGCUAGCUACAUUCUUCUAUUAGCUCUGUAAAACAAUGCUAAUUGCGUCAGAGAAGUAUUAGCUUGUUGUAUUUUGACGCUACCCUGUCCUUACGACUCCCAAGUGGCACAGCAGUCUAAGGCACAGCAUCUCCGUGCUCGAGGCGUCACUACAGACACCCUGGUUCAAAUCCAGGCUGUGUUUCUAUCAAAGUAAGUGCCUUAUUACGUUAUAAAAGUUUCUGUAUGUGAUUUGUAUGCAAACUGUACGUCCAAUUACAAAAAAUAACUUAUUCAGUAAUCAUCUCACCUGUUAGUUGGUGGUGAACUAUGUGGCCAUUGAGGGCAGCAGUGUUGAUCAGAUGGAAAAAUAUAUUCUUAUACCACUUGGUAGUUUUCCGAGCGCAUUCCACAAAGCUGUUUAUCAUGUCCACCUUAUCCACUGCCCCCAUUUGGAGGUUAUACCCAAGCACACAGUCUGGUUAGAUUUUUCUCUCUCCCGUCAGGUGGUCCACCUUCCCUGUGGCUGACAUGGUUGCUGUAUGGACAGUGGAGAGGAUAUGGAUAUCUCGUUGGUCAUGCCAUUUUACUGCCAGCUGUUAACCGUUCUCCUUGAACUCCACCUCCCCUCUCUGCAUCUUCCUGCAUCUGAAUACUGGCAUCCCCUUCCUGUUCGACCUGACUGUGCCACAGGCCCCUGUGCUGUUGGAGAGCAGAUGCUGGAAGAGUGUGGGACUGCUGUACCAAUUGUCCACAUACAAAGUGUGUCCCUUGCUGAGAUGAGGAGCCAGCAUGGCCAUCACCACGGACCUGGACACCCCAAGCCCCUCAUAAUGUUGGAUGUCAGUGGUGGAACCUGUGUAGACUAUAAUGUCCUGGACAAAUCCUGUCUUCACGUUGCUCAUGACAAAGAACUUGACCCCAAACCUGUGCCUUUUGGAGGGAAUAUAUUGACGAAACGCCAGCCUACCUUUCCAUAACAUACAUGAAGGGCACAUUUUGGCAUUUGCUAAAUGAUCGAUGACAAACUCCAUAUUGCAAAUGUACAGUCCCUUACUAGACGUCCGCGAUUGUUUGUAAAAUUCGCGGAUGGCAUCGGGCCGUUUACCGGGGCCCGCUCUUCCGGGAAGUCAUCGAACGAAGUCUCUCGGACAUUCGGUUUCUGUUUUAUAAAAUGUUCAAAUUUUGGUCAUUUUUCCGCUGUCCCGGUAAAUUCCGGCAGAUAGCGAAUGGAAUCUUAUUGCAAAUGUACAAAACAUCACCAAUCACGACAUGGCCAUUUCUUCUGAACGGAAAAGACUUCAAAGACAACUUGCUCCAAGGCACAGCGAUUGGUCUCCUCUACUAUGUCUCCCACCAGCUCCUCUGUUAGAAAUGCCAAGGGGUGUUGCACUCCAGGCUGGGACUCAUCAAAGCAAACAGCAGGGCCAGGAGGGGUGAAAUGGCUGGCGGCCUUCCAGCUACCACAGAACUCCUGUACUUCAUCCACUGUUGGUCUGCCUCCAUCACCACCAGCAUCUUCAAAGGGACCUAUGUCUUCGUCAGUGGACAAGGAAUCCUCAGAUUCAGGGUUCUCAAUGGCUACAAGGUUGGGGGGCAGCUCCUCACUGUCACUGUCAGAAUCUGAUUCCUGACUUUCAGACUAAUUGUCAGAAUUGAAAAAAUCUCCAGAAUUUCUGCAUUUGUGAGUUGUCUCCUUUUGAAAAACAUAGCUAAUGCUACAGCUUAUCUCACUAGCUAUAUACAUAAACAACAACACUGAAUGGCUCAGUGGGAGUGAGAGGUUACGUGAAUGACUGCCAUGCCACUUGUAUCAAUAAAUCACUCAGAAAAUGUUUUGUGUGGUAAUUAUUGAUACAUUUACUGUUUUAUUCACAUGUUUUCAAGUACUAUUGACAAAUCAUGCAUUCCGAUUCUUGCGGAGAUUGUAAUGGGCACAUAUUAUGUGUGUAAAAUACUUUUUUGAAGGUUGUACUGAUUCUGAUGAGCUAAGCUAAUUCCAGCUAUGUGUGGAGCCAUGUUUGUUGACAUACAAUGCAUUCUGGGUGUCACGUAAUUUUCUGUCGGACCAAAGAUGUUAUAACAAAAUUAGGUGAGUAAGGGUUCACAAAUUUUUUGAGAACUUCGGAAGUGAAUGGUGGGAUGUGAACGAUGGUAGACAACACACCCCCUUCAACACGCAUACUAUAAACAGACCAAACUCAUCUUGUCUUCUCUUAUUAUCUUUGGUUUCUCUGAGAAAAUAAAAACAUGGAGGCGUGCAGAAACUACCCAUCGUCGGAUUACUUUCGAUUUAUAUAAAGUGUUUUACUCAAUUAUUUCGGUCAAUGCUGAGCUCACCCGUGAUGUGAUUAAUUAUAAUAGUAAUUGCUAUUAGCUAAUUCAUAUUGUAGUUUAUGUCAGGCGAGAGUUAUAAAAAUAUGACCGCUUGUGUUAUGUCAAUCUUUCCUCAGUUAGCGCUAGGACAAAUGUAGCCUACAUUUUUUUCGGUUUGGAUGAUUGUGUUAUGCUGUAGAUACUUCUGUGAAUGUCUGAACAUUGCAUCUAAAAAUAAACUGCUCACAUUGUGGACAUAA
This 2638-nucleotide long non-coding RNA is filed under the name Salmo salar (Atlantic salmon). Its description in RNAcentral is "lncRNA (ENSSSAG00000107889.1)". The record is from RNAcentral. Lineage: Eukaryota; Metazoa; Chordata; Actinopteri; Salmoniformes; Salmonidae.